This 469-nucleotide ribosomal RNA is filed under the name uncultured bacterium. RNAcentral describes it as "partial 16S ribosomal RNA". It matches the Rfam family "Bacterial small subunit ribosomal RNA", at positions 27 to 507 of the family's 1533-position model. The record is from RNAcentral.
GGACGAACGCUGGCGGCGUGCUUAACACAUGCAAGUCGAACGGAAAGGCCCUGCUUUUGUGGGGUGCUCGAGUGGCGAACGGGUGAGUAACACGUGAGUAACCUGCCCUUGACUUUGGGAUAACUUCAGAAAACUGGGGCUAAUACCGGAUAGGAGCUCCUGCUGCAUGGUGGGGGUUGGAAAGUUUCGGCGGUUGGGGAUGGACUCGCGGCUUAUCAGCUUGUUGGUGGGGUAGUGGCUUACCAAGGCUUUGACGGGUAGCCGGCCUGAGAGGGUGACCGGCCACAUUGGGACUGAGAUACGGCCCAGACUCCUACGGGAGGCAGCAGUGGGGAAUAUUGCACAAUGGGCGGAAGCCUGAUGCAGCAACGCCGCGUGCGGGAUGACGGCCUUCGGGUUGUAAACCGCUUUCGCCUGUGACGAAGCGUGAGUGACGGUAAUGGGUAAAGAAGCACCGGCUAACUACGUG